UGGGGAAUAUUGGACAAUGGGCGAAAGCCUGAUCCAGCCAUGCCGCGUGAGUGACGAAGGCCUUAGGGUUGUAAAACUCUUUCGUCGGGGACGAUAAUGACGGUACCCGAAGAAGAAGCUCCGGCUAACUUCGUGCCAGCAGCCGCGGUAAUACGUAGGGACCAAGCGUUGUUCGGAUUUACUGGGCGUAAAGGGCGCGUAGGCGGCAUGACAAGUCACUUGUGAAAUCUCUGGGCUUAACCCAGAACGGCCAAGUGAUACUGUCGCGCUAGAGUGCAGAAGGGGCAAUCGGAAUUCUUGGUGUAGCGGUGAAAUGCGUAGAUAUCAAGAGGAACACCUGAGGUGAAGACGGGUUGCUGGGCUGACACUGACGCUGAGGCGCGAAAGCCAGGGGACCAAACGGGAUUAGAUACCCUGGUAGUCCCUGAGCGGGCUGGCAAGGCGCAU
RNAcentral lists this ribosomal RNA (447 nucleotides) under uncultured bacterium. RNAcentral describes it as "bacterial SSU rRNA". It matches the Rfam family "Bacterial small subunit ribosomal RNA", at positions 355 to 825 of the family's 1533-position model. The record is from RNAcentral.